This is a long non-coding RNA of Oncorhynchus tshawytscha (Chinook salmon), 1146 nucleotides long. Lineage: Eukaryota; Metazoa; Chordata; Actinopteri; Salmoniformes; Salmonidae. The record is from Ensembl.
GUCAAGACAAUGGAGUACAGAGAUGGUGUGGUUAAAUUGGUGGCACAACAAUUUGUCCAAGGGAGCAUGCAGGUGGCCUUGGAGCAGUAUGUCAACUCUGUCAUAAAUCUGUGAAGUACUUGUCAUUACCUCCUCUAACAUAAGUAUUUUUAAUCAGUCUACCCCCCUAAAUCAAUACACAUCAAUAUAUUGUCCUUAAUACUUAUUUUAAAUAUACAUCUUGUCUCUAAACCAAGUUCAAAUAUGGUCUCAACUUUCUUGGGCUGCAUUGGGGAACCACCCGUACAGUUUCCGAGCACUUUUUGUGGACUCCAUAAAGCCUCAAACUGCCAGGGACCAGCGAAAUCUGUUUAAAGUAACCUAUUCCAUACCUGGCGGCAACCGGCAGUGUUUGGAGAGUGACACCAUCUGCCACUGGUUCAGCUGGCUGGCUGAAGUGCAAGCAGGCACGCUCUGAAGGCUCCAAUCCAGUGCUUGCAGUAGGCCUCUCCUGUGUCGUUUUGUACUGAGUGGAAGACAAAUAUUGUGUCAGCAGAUGGAAUAUUGUGUUAAAGCCCCAUAGAGAAAAAUACAAUAACCAUAGACCGUAUAUCUUAACAGUACCUGCCACUCUCCAAAUAUGACCAAACAAAAUCGUAAUGGAAUGGAGAAGUACUUAGCUUUUGUUAAGGCCACCUGUGUCUAAACUCUGGUCCCCAUCCGUUCAGAGUUGAAGAUGUCUGUCGUACUUUUCUAGAGACCAAAUCAUACAGUGUGUGAAAGAGGGGGAAUGUUAUUAUAAAAUGUAUAAUAGUUAUAAUAGUAUUAUAAAAAUUAACUGAUUCAAAGGAAUGAGUGCCAUUCAAUACUCAGGUCACUGCUGAAGAUAUAGCAUCCAAUCCCUCAUCCCAGUAGGGGAGUAUCAGGGGUGUAGUAAGUCAGGUUGGAGGAGGAACGAGGGGCGCUGAAGAUAUUACUGCCAUAACCAUCUGUAGAAUUUUAACUCCCAGGCUGCCUCUGGGGCCAUCCAAUGGAUUUAUUGUCCGCAACAGUUCCAUCUGUGUGUUGCUGAUGGUGAACUGGAUUUGUGCCACAAUCACCCCUUCCGACCAAUAAAGAGCUGUGCCAGUGGUUGGAAGAGCUGUGGUGGUGGUUGGAGGAGCUGAG